Molecule: ribosomal RNA, 1390 nt
Filed under: Burkholderia sp. RAU2h
Lineage: Bacteria; Pseudomonadati; Pseudomonadota; Betaproteobacteria; Burkholderiales; Burkholderiaceae
Description: bacterial SSU rRNA
Rfam family: Bacterial small subunit ribosomal RNA
Source: RNAcentral
AGAGUUUGAUCCUGGCUCAGAUUGAACGCUGGCGGCAUGCCUUACACAUGCAAGUCGAACGGCAGCACGGGAGCAAUCCUGGUGGCGAGUGGCGAACGGGUGAGUAAUACAUCGGAACGUGUCCUGUAGUGGGGGAUAGCCCGGCGAAAGCCGGAUUAAUACCGCAUACGAUCUGCGGAUGAAAGCGGGGGAUCUUAGGACCUCGCGCUACAGGGGCGGCCGAUGGCAGAUUAGCUAGUUGGUGGGGUAAAGGCCUACCAAGGCGACGAUCUGUAGCUGGUCUGAGAGGACGACCAGCCACACUGGGACUGAGACACGGCCUAGACUCCUACGGGAGGCAGCAGUGGGGAAUUUUGGACAAUGGGCGCAAGCCUGAUCCAGCAAUGCCGCGUGUGUGAAGAAGGCCUUCGGGUUGUAAAGCACUUUUGUCCGGAAAGAAAACCUUCGCCCUAAUACGGUGGGGGGAUGACGGUACCGGAAGAAUAAGCACCGGCUAACUACGUGCCAGCAGCCGCGGUAAUACGUAGGGUGCAAGCGUUAAUCGGAAUUACUGGGCGUAAAGCGUGCGCAGGCGGUCCGCUAAGACAGAUGUGAAAUCCCCGGGCUUAACCUGGGAACUGCAUUUGUGACUGGCGGGCUAGAGUAUGGCAGAGGGGGGUAGAAUUCCACGUGUAGCAGUGAAAUGCGUAGAGAUGUGGAGGAAUACCGAUGGCGAAGGCAGCCCCCUGGGCCAAUACUGGCGCUCAUGCACGAAAGCGUGGGGAGCAAACAGGAUUAGAUACCCUGGUAGUCCACGCCCUAAACGAUGUCAACUAGUUGUCGGGUCUUCGUUGACUUGGUAACGUAGCUAACGCGUGAAGUUGACCGCCUGGGGAGUACGGUCGCAAGAUUAAAACUCAAAGGAAUUGACGGGGACCCGCACAAGCGGUGGAUGAUGUGGAUUAAUUCGAUGCAACGCGAAAAACCUUACCUACCCUUGACAUGUAUGGAAUCCUGCUGAGAGGUGGGAGUGCCCGAAAGGGAGCCAUAACACAGGUGCUGCAUGGCUGUCGUCAGCUCGUGUCGUGAGAUGUUGGGUUAGGUCCCGCAACGAGCGCAACCCUUGUCCCUAGUUGCUACGCAAGAGCACUCUAGGGAGACUGCCGGUGACAAACCGAGGAAGGUGGGGAUGACGUCAAGUCCUCAUGGCCCUUAUGGGUAGGGCUUCACACGUCAUACAAUGGUCGGAACAGAGGGUCGCCAACCCGCGAGGGGGAGCCAAUCCCAGAAAACCGAUCGUAGUCCGGAUCGCACUCUGCAACUCGAGUGCGUGAAGCUGGAAUCGCUAGUAAUCGCGGAUCAGCAUGCCGCGGUGAAUACGUUCCCGGGUCUUGUACACACCGCCCGUCAC